CAAUAGCGUAUAUUAAAGUUGUUGCAGUUAAAAAGCUCGUAGUUGGAUUUCUGGUAGGAGUGACCGUUCCGAACUUGAUUGUUCGUGUAUUGUGUUUUCUCCAGCCAUCCUUGUGGAGAACUUUUCUUGCAUUAAUUUGUAGGGAUUGGGACCCGCAUCGUUUACUGUGAAAAAAUUAGAGUGUUUAAAGCAGGCAAUCGCUUGAAUACAUUAGCAUGGAAUAAUAAGAUAGGACUUUGGUAAUAUUUUGUUAGUUUGCAUACCAAAUUAAUGAUCAACAGGAACAGUUUGAGGAUAUUCGUAUGAACAUGUCAGAGGUGAAAUUCUUGGAUUUUGAUCAGACGAACUACUGCGAAAGCAUUUAUCAAGGAUGUUUUCAUUAA
Molecule: ribosomal RNA, 383 nt
Filed under: uncultured eukaryote
Lineage: Eukaryota
Description: partial 18S ribosomal RNA
Rfam family: Eukaryotic small subunit ribosomal RNA
Source: RNAcentral